RNAcentral lists this ribosomal RNA (488 nucleotides) under uncultured bacterium. RNAcentral's name for it is "partial 16S ribosomal RNA". It matches the Rfam family "Bacterial small subunit ribosomal RNA", at positions 899 to 1397 of the family's 1533-position model. The record is from RNAcentral.
ACUCAAAUGAAUUGACGGGGACCCGCACAAGCGGUGGAGCAUGUGGUUUAAUUCGAUGCUAAGCGGAGCACCUCACCAAGAUUUGACAUCCUGCUGAAAGGCACUGGAAACAGAGCCCCUCUUCGGACAGCAGAGACAGGUGCUGCACGGUUGUCGUCAGCUCGUGUUGUGAAAUGUACGGUUAAGUCCGAUAACGAGCGCAACCCCUAUUGCCAGUUACAUGUGUCUGGCGAGACUGCCGUGGUUAACACGGAGGAAGGUGGGGAUGACGUCAAAUCAGCGUGGCCUUUAUAUCUUGGGCGACACACGUGCUACAAUGGGUGGGUCACAAUGGGUUGCCAAGCAGUAAUGCGGAGCUAAUCCCAUCAAAACCACCCCAAGUUCGGAUUGAGGGCUGCAACUCGCCCUCAUGAAGUUGGAAUCGCUAGUAACCGCGCAUCAGCCAUGGUGCGGUGAAUACGUUCUCGGGUCUUGUACACACCGCCCGU